This 71-nucleotide transfer RNA is filed under the name Enteractinococcus helveticum. Its description in RNAcentral is "tRNA-Cys". It matches the Rfam family "tRNA". Rfam says of the family: Transfer RNA (tRNA) molecules are approximately 80 nucleotides in length. Their secondary structure includes four short double-helical elements and three loops (D, anti-codon, and T loops). Further hydrogen bonds mediate the characteristic L-shaped molecular structure. tRNAs have two regions of fundamental functional importance: the anti-codon, which is responsible for specific mRNA codon recognition, and the 3' end, to which the tRNAs corresponding amino acid is attached (by aminoacyl-tRNA synthetases). tRNAs cope with the degeneracy of the genetic code in two manners: having more than one tRNA (with a specific anti-codon) for a particular amino acid; and 'wobble' base-pairing, i.e. permitting non-standard base-pairing at the 3rd anti-codon position. Lineage: Bacteria; Bacillati; Actinomycetota; Actinomycetes; Micrococcales; Micrococcaceae. The record is from RNAcentral.
GGUGGGGUGACCGAGAGGCUAGGUCACGGCCCGCAAGGCCGUGCACGCAGGUUCAACUCCUGCCCCCACCU